Molecule: long non-coding RNA, 709 nt
Organism: Vigna angularis (adzuki bean)
Lineage: Eukaryota; Viridiplantae; Streptophyta; Magnoliopsida; Fabales; Fabaceae
Exons: 3
Source: RefSeq, a predicted model, not a curated record
CCAGUUCCUCUUUCUCUCUCUAAGUUCAGCUUCAUUUUCUUCUUCUUGCUCUGACUUCUCUCUACUUUUCCACCACUUCCCACCAUUGAAAUUUCAAAUAGGUAGUGUCCUUUAGUUCACAGAGUUGAGAGCUUUCCCUUCAUCCGAUUAGAUUUUCGUUUUGGACGGAAAGUAUAUGAUUAAAGUGACAGUACGGUUCAUGAACGUAAUUCCAUGAUCCUCAAGGAGGGGAUACAUGGUAGUGUCCUGGUAGUGUGUAGAAUGAUUGCAUGGUAGCUCAGUCUUGGGGGUUUUCCUGACGCUCCAAUGGUCUUUCAUUCUCAAGUAGAGAGGAUUGAUCCAUGUGGUGAGAGGAGUAGCAGGAGGUCCUAGUCUUGGAGGCUUCCAGUAUGUUUCAGGGCGCGGAACAGACUAACCUCGUGAGUGUGGUAGGGUGGAACCCAUUGUCAACGGCUUUGCAAAGCAGUAGAGGCCACCACGAGUGCAUAACCCGCCAUAGCUCGAUGAAGAGGAGGUGUCUGUGAAGCAAGCGCUGGAAGAAGGUGAUGUUGCAGCUUAGUAUGUCUAGGAUCUUGAUUAGUAGUAUUAUUCUGAUGAUAAUUCACAAUGGUCCUUUAUGUUUAAGAGACCAACUCUGAUUUUAUUUUGGAUGACUGUAACCAAUAUAGUCUGUUAUAUGUCUCUAACUGCUUUCCAAUAUUAUAACCGA